Molecule: non-coding RNA, 7778 nt
Organism: Sus scrofa (pig)
Lineage: Eukaryota; Metazoa; Chordata; Mammalia; Artiodactyla; Suidae
Source: RefSeq, a predicted model, not a curated record
GCGUCGUGCUGGCACUUUUACUGGCCGGAUCUUAGAACUGAACCUGUAGCCAGGCGCCAUCUUUGACUCUGGCAGUCUUGGAUUUCUGCUGGUGUUGCUGCUGAGAGGACGGCGGACGGCAGCGGCUAAGAAAGAAGAAAGACGUGGCAGCAGCGGGAGUCGUGGAUAGUGUCGUCGGUUCGGUAAAGUUUCUGUUCUCCGGUAACUAGACCCGUUUUUUUGCUUCCCGGGUGGCUCGGGGCCGGGGAGGUGGGGGAGAGGGCGAGGGGAGUGGCCGCGGCCUCCCCUCGCCCCUGGGUCGCGGCCUAGCCCGGGAAGUCAGAGCGGGUCCUUCGGCCCGGUGGUAAAGACCGGCUCCCCCACCUCCGGGCCGCUGCCGUCGCCAGGGCGGCCUGGGAGCCCCAGGCUCCAGCUCCCAGGCCCAUCUACCCCCACCCUCCUUCACCCCACCCCCACGGGGCCUGCUCCUUUUCCCAACCAGUCUUCCUCCCUUCCCCCACAUCCGGUGUUGGCGAAACUGUAGGAGCCGGGAGCAGCCCCGGGAAACCGACUUGUUCCCCUACUCCCGGAGGAGAACUGACAACUACGUUGCUUUCUCUGGGGCAGCAGUUUCCUUAGUUUUAGCGAACCCCACUGCCUAAAUCAAAUUGAAUGCCAGGAGCUGAUUUUACCUACUCUCAUUCCUCUCCAGGGUCCCACUACUUGGGAGAUUUUCUCAAACUCCACAUACAGAAAGCCACCGAUCUUAUUCCGGUAUCCUACACCCCUUUCCUACCUUAAUUACACUCCCACCCCCAGCCCUCAGCAUCGGAGUCAAGAGCAACAGGGACACUUCCGUUCUCCUUGUAGGAUUGAUGAAACCGUAAUGAAGAACGCCCCCUAAACUCCCAUAAUCGGUGCGGAUUCCUAUGGGGAAGGCCCAUAUUGUUGACAUCUUCCAGGCCUUGGUUCUGGACCUUGAGAAGGAGGCUGAACUAGUGAUAGCGAUGCUUUUUAGGGUAAUUGUAUGUAGGUAUUGGGGGAAGGGGAGGGAUCAACCAAGAAGGCAUGACACUGAUUUAAAACUCAUAUUUCAUUUUCUGCUGCUCAUAUAGAGUCCAACUUAGGAGUUACUCAUUUGCAGGCUGUAAGGCUUCUCCGGUCUAAAAAUGUCUGAAAACCAAGUAUGGAUUAACUCUUGAUACAGAUAGUAAAUUAGAAAUUCAGUUUGUAAUCUUACUUUAAAAUUUUACUCUCAAAGCAUUUUUUUUUUUAAAAGCUACCUACAUUUUUAAAAAAUUGUGUUACUUUUAGCUAGAGCUGAAAGGGUCAACAGGCAUUUGCUGUUAAUGACCAGUAUGUGGAGUCUGAUUUAGCUUUCCAGAAUUGACUUUUGGGGUUGUAUUGGCAAAUCACAGUCUUAAAUAAUGGAUAUUAAAUGAUGCACUAUGUUUUUGUUUAAAUGAAAUUUACUGAAAAUAAUUCCAGAAUUAAGGGGAUUUGAUGUUGCUGUCGUGAGGCAACAUAAAAGAUACGUAUUUUAAAAGCUAAAACAUUUCAAGCAGAUACAGUUCUUGAUGAAUCAUAAAGAAUAUGGACCAUAGAUUUGGAAGACUUGGUUUUUAGCUGCUACUAACUCUGACGCUGGAAAAGUAGACCUCAGUUUUCUUUUCUGUAACAUGAGGAGAUUGGACUAUUUGAAUUCAGAACUCAGAAAGUUGGAAGGGAUCUUAAAGCCCUCUGUAAAAGAGUUUGGGAAUGAGCUCCAUUGCUGUCACUUUUCCUCCAAAAAUAACCUGGCAUGGAAGUCAUUGGUCCAGUGGGAAUUUGACUCCCCAUAGAAACUGGAGAAAAGGUAAUGCAAGUAGAGAGGAACAGCUGUAUAUCUGUUUGAGGAAUAAACCCACUAACAGAUUCUGCUACGAAUUUUGGAGACAUAAAAAGAAUGAGUAUAUGUACCUUAAGUGUACCAGUGUCCUCACUCUCUCCUGGCAGAAGAUGUAGCACUUUUAGUGGUGCUGGGAUUCUGGGCUGUGUUCCUAUUAAUUCUAAUACAGAUGAAGAAGAUGUGGUAGAGGGAAAGAUGGUGGCAGAAGGAGUGGAUAAAGAGGCAAAAUUGCCUGCCAAAAAGAAAAGAAAGAAGGGUUUGCGAAUUAAGGGGAAAAGGCGACGAAAGAAACUGAUCCUUGCAAAAAAGUUUAGUAAGGAUUUGGGAUCUGGGAGGCCUGUUGCAAGCACUACUGCUUUGUUAGCGUCUGAUGCCCCUGAGCAUGAUGAAGAAAGUCUUUUUGAGAGUAAUAUAGAAAAACAGAUCUAUUUACCUAGUACUAGAGCAAAGACUUCCAUUGUGUGGCACUUCUUUCAUGUUGACCCCCAGUAUACCUGGCGGGCAAUUUGUAACCUCUGUGAAAAAAGUGUUAGCAGGGGUAAACCAGGUAGCCAUCUUGGGACAUCUACUCUCCAACGACAUCUACAGGCAAGGCACUCACCUCACUGGACUAGGGCCAACAAAUUUGGAGUUACUAGUGGGGAGGAGGAUUUUACUUUGGAUGUACCUUUAUCUCCCUCUUCUGCUGGAAGCAAUGGAAGCUUUGAAUAUCUCUCUACUGAUCCAUUAGAUGAUAGUGGAAUGGGUAAGAAGCGUGAUAAAUCAGUAUCUGAUGCCUUGAGGGCAGAAAGAGGAAGAUUUCUCAUCAAAAGUAACAUAGUCAAGCAUGCCUUAAUUCCUGGAACAAGAGCCAAGACAUCUGCAGUUUGGAAUUUUUUCUACACAGAUCCUCAGCACAUCUCAAGAGCUGUGUGUAAUAUAUGUAAAAGAAGUGUGAGCAGGGGUAGGCCAGGUUCUCACUUAGGAACCUCAACACUUCAACGACACCUGCAAGCCACACAUCCCAUCCAUUGGGCUGUUGCCAACAAGGACAGUGGUGCAGUUGGAAAUGGAUUAGAUGAGGCUGAGACUGAGGGAAAUGAUCUCUUGAGCAAUACUUUGCAUGGAGAAAAGUCUGCAGGCAGCCAAAGUGUAACAGCUGAGGACCUUACUGACUCUGAUUCAGAUGAACCUCCUGUAUUAGAGGUUGAAAAUAGAAGAUCUGAGAGUCCCAUUCCUGAUGCAGAGCAGGACACUCUUAUGCAUGCACAGGAACGAGAAGCAACAUACUGUGAAAAUUCAACCUCAAGUCAAAUAAGUCAAGCAAUAAUUCAGAUGAUUGUGGAAGAUAUGCAUCCUUACAACUACUUCUCAACCCCAGCCUUUCAGAGAUUCAUGCAGAUUGUGGCCCCUGACUAUAGGUUACCAUCUGAAACUUACUUUUUCACUAAGGCUGUCCCUCAAUUAUAUGAUUGGGUUAGAGAAAAAAUUUUCUUGACUUUGGAGAAUGUUCAAAGCCAAAAGAUUCACUUGACUGUGGACAUAUGGACCCAUGACCCAUCCACUGACUAUUUCACUGUGACUGUACACUGGGUCUCUUUGGAAACGCCAUCUUCUUCAAAUAGUGACAGGAUCCCCAAUUUUAGAAAGUGGGCAGUUCUUUGUGUAACAGGUUUGGCCAAAGACUGUUUGAUAACCAACAUUUUACAAGAAUUAAAUGACCAGAUUGGUCUGUGGCUUUCUCCUAAUUUCCUCAUCCCUAGUUUCAUUGUUUCUGACAAUUCUUCUAAUGUAGUACAUGCAAUCAAAGACGGUGGUUUUACCCAUGUGCCAUGCUUACUGCAUUGUUUAAAUAUAGUUAUUCAAGACUUUUUCUGUGAACACAAAAGCAUUGAGAACAUGUUAGUGGCUGCUCGGAAAACAUGUCAUCACUUUAGUCAUUCAGUCAAGGCCCGUCAGAUACUGCAAGAGUUCCAAAAUGAUCACCGACUACCAUGGAAAAAUUUGAAGCAGGAUGAAGCUGGCCAUUGGAUUUCUACCUUUUAUAUGUUAAAAUGGCUGUUGGAACAUUGUUACUCAGUUCAUCAUAGUCUUGGUAGAGCCAGUGGAGUCGUGCUCACCUCCCUUCAGUGGACUCUAAUGACAUAUGUUUGUGAUAUUCUUAAACCAUUUGAGGAGGUCACCCGGAAAGUGAGUGUGAAGACCACAGGGUUGAAUCAGGUGCUACCCCUAAUCCAUCAUCUACUCCUUUCCCUGCAGAAACUCAGAGAGGAUUUUCAAGUUAGAGGUAUUACUCAGGCCCUCAAUCUGGUAGACAGUUUAUCUCUGAAACUGGAAACUGACACUCUACUAAGUGCCAUGCUCAAAUCUAAGCCUUGUAUCCUGGCUGCUUUGUUAGAUCCUUGUUUUAAAAACAGUUUGGAAGACUUUAACCCUCAAGGUGCUGAUUUAGAAACUUAUAAGCAGAUGCUUGCAGAAGAAGUUUGUAAUUAUAUGGAAUCUUCACCAGAGGUCUGCCAUGUUGCAACUUCAGAAGCUUCUGGUCCCUCAGCUAUAGUAGGAGCUGAUUCAUUUACCUCAUCUAUAAGAGAAAGCACCUCCAGUUCGGGGUCUAUUGAUAGUUCAGCUGCAGAUAAUGUUGCCGUUGGAGGCAAAAGCUUCAUGUUUCCUUCUGCUAUGGCAGUAGUGGAUGAAUACUUCAAAGAGAAGUAUUCAGAGAUUUCAGGAGGUGAUGACCCUUUGGUUUACUGGCAGAAGAAGGUGAGCAUAUGGCCAGCUUUGACCCAAGUUGCUGUUCAGUAUCUGAGCUGCCCCAUGUGUAGUUGGCAAUCUGAAUGUAUCUUUACUGCAAAUGGCCACUUUCAUCCAAAGCAGAUCAUGAACCUGGACUUUGACAAUAUAGAACAGCUAAUGUUUCUGAAAAUGAAUUUGAAAAAUGUUAACUAUGAUUAUUCUGCAUUGGUUCUGAGCUGGGAUCCUGAAAAUGAAGUUACUCAAAGCAGUGAAAAAGAAAUAUUGUCUUAAUUUCUUUUUCCUUUCUCCAUUUAAAUUGGGCAACUUUUGCUAUGUUACUGUAUCCUAUUUCCUAUUAUUUUUAUAUAUAGUUAUACUAAUUCUUCAUGCACAUCUGGGGAAACCUGAAAACACAGGAAGGGCUGAAAAUUCCUCAGAGGUACUAUAGUGUUGAAAAAGUGAAUAUUACAAGAUUUCACAGUAACUCAAUGUAGCUGUCACUUGAAAUUUUGUUUAUAUUGAGAAAAGAAAGAUAUUUUUUAAAUAAAAAAUAUAGUGCAGCAUUAAAAGGCCUUAGGCUAUUAGAUUGAACUAGUAAUUGGCUUUAAAUAAAAAUAUCUUUUAACAUGGGAAGUUUGAUUGCUCUGAAACAAAUUGAGGAAAAAGCAUACUAAACUGUUAUGUGCUUCCCCCACCACCAUUUUCCUAUUUCUUUAAAAACCCUGAUUCAUAUUUACAGCUUGGCAAAAACUAAAGUUCACAGAUUUUUUUUCAUAUUUGGAAAAUUCUAAUUGCCUCCUCAUACUGGUCAACUUUACAAUUUCAGCUUAGUGUGAUAGUUACCCUUUAUGUUUAGGAUUGGCUUUAUAUAAAAAGGAAACAAGAAAUUUAGGAAAAAAAUUACUUUUAGUCUUUAAAUUGCCUUUUUAAACUUUUAUAAAAUAGUGUAAAAACCAAGAUUAUAUAGGUACUUUUAUAUAACUUAUGGGUAAAUGAGAAAAAGUUUACAAAAUUUUAAAAGAUUAAGUGGGAAUUGGAAUGAAAGCCCUGUGAGCACACCGACAAACCCAGUAUCCAUUUCCCAAGGAAUGUUUUGCUGAAUUUUAGUGAUCUUAAAUGUCUUUGAAUGAUCCAUAGUGUUGUAUUCUUAACUAUGAGAUUAUUUUGGCCUCUAUUCUUAUUUAAAAAUAAACAGUAUUUUCAUGUGUUAGGAAUCAUUGCCUCACUGGUAGAAUGAGAGAAAUGAUCUCAAAUGAUCUUACCACUGUCCACUCUGAGAGUAUGUUUCUGUGACUGAGAGGCCAGAAAAUAAUGACUUUUAGUAAAAGUCUAUUAAAAGUUUCAGACUGAAUUACUAAUGUAAGAUCCCAAUUUUUCCUUUUUUUCAUUUUAGAUUUGGGGAUAUUCCCUGCCCAAAAAUUUCCUGGAAAAUUGACUAGUAUUAAGUGUGAGUAAAAGGUGUCCACUUUUUUUUAAGUUUUGAUUUUAGUUUUGUCUUGGAUAGUAUUUGGCAAGAUUUAGCCUAGAAAUUAUGUAGUAUUUAUUACGUGAGAAUCAAAAUUGCUUUGUUACUGGGCUGUUUCAAAAUUUAGAGCUCAUUUCUAUGUAUCAAAAUUGUUUUUUGUUUUUGUUUUUUGUUUUUUGAAAUUCUUAAAUGGUAAAUGUACCAUCGUGAAAUGAAAUUUCAACUCCAAAAGUUUACCCUUUUACUAAGUGGAGUAAAUGGAUGAUUAUAAAGUCUUUAGUUAUAGCCAUCAUUAGUAAAGAAUUUGGAACUAGGCUACAUAAGCAAGCCUUUGCAGGGCCGGUAUCGAAUGUCAUGCCAGUGACCCUGGUGUUGCUAUAAAAGAAGAAAAAAAUCCUCCCUUUAGAUAGAAGCUUGCUGUAUCUUGACAGUGCCAGUUCAGGAUGGCCAUAACACUGCUCUGCCUUCUACAGCUUGCUGCACCACUCUGUAGUUACUCUGUAACUAUACAUUUCUAUCUUUUUUGGUUAAACACUCCGUGAAGGUGAUAAAAGAUGAUGUGAUGAUAUACAUACAUCCAUAUUAUACAUGUCAAUAUAUACGUAAGGAUUUCUCUUCAUCUUUGUUUGUGGGCUGGGCAAAAUUUAGUGUAACAUAUUAAUAUACUUCAUGAUACUUUGGUAUAAGAAUAAAUUCACUAUUUUUAUAAUGAACCCAAAUUUAAAGGCUUUUGUAGUAUAUUUUAAAAGGGAAAACUUACCCAAAUGUUUUAUUUCUACACAUUUGUGUGUGUGUGUGUGUGUGUGUAUAAGGCAGUUAGUAUAUAUGUAUAUUAAACAUAAAACACUUAUAUUUUUACAUACAAGUGCGUUUUUAUUAUACAGAUAAUAAAGAUGGGGGAAGGUUUCUGUUUUUUUCUUAAUAGGUGAAGAAAUCUUGAAGACCAGAGAUUGGAUCUUAUUGAAUUUUGGUGUUCUUUUUCUUUUUUUCUUUUUCCUUCCUAAAUUAAUAUUGUUCGGCUGUGGAAGAUGGAUUUUUUUUUUUUUAAUAAUCCUUUGACUCCCAAGUUCAUCUUUAUAUGAACUCUUUUUUUUUUUUUUUUUUUUUUGGUUUUUUGGUUUUGUUUUUGUUUUUGUUUUUUUUUUUUUGAGGAGAUAACUAACCCUAGCUGUCUCCAGUUUGACAAAGGUUAUUCGAAUGGACUUAAUCUCCCGGUAGUUGGGAGAUGUUUUAAAAACACAUCCUGUGUUUGAAUUGUGGCUGAGAGGUUUCCUUGGCAAUGUGAGGAGGAAAAUUCUUUCUGCCCCAUUAUUAUUAAUUCAUGGAUUGAGUGUUGGUUCGACCUACAGGCGUAAUAGAUUGGAACUCAGUGAAGACACAGACAUUCCUGUUGAGAGCAACCAGCUAAUGAUUACGUUUAAAAGACCAUUUCUGUGAUUGAGUUGUCUUUUGGAAGAUUUAAACCAAUUUCAAGAGGACUUGGAGCUUGUCCUUGCCUUGAAGAAGGAGUGGCUUGUUUUCAAGAAGCCACUUCUGAUCUAAGGAUCUGCGCUACUCAGCAUGCCUAAUCAAGGAGAAGACUGCUAUUUUUUUUUCUAUUCUACAUGUACCAAAGGUGACAGCUGUCCAUUCCGUCACUGUGAAGCUGCACUAGGAAAUGAAACCGUUUGCACAUUAUGGCAAGAAGGGCGCUGUUUUCGACAGGUGUGCAGGUUUCGGCAUAUGGAGAUUGAU